This 497-nucleotide ribosomal RNA is filed under the name uncultured bacterium. Its description in RNAcentral is "partial 16S ribosomal RNA". It matches the Rfam family "Bacterial small subunit ribosomal RNA", at positions 28 to 507 of the family's 1533-position model. The record is from RNAcentral.
GAUGAACGCUGGCGGCGUGCCUAAUACAUGCAAGUCGAGCGAACGGACGAGAAGCUUGCUUCUCUGAUGUUAGCGGCGGACGGGUGAGUAACACGUGGAUAACCUACCUAUAAGACUGGGAUAACUUCGGGAAACCGUAGCUAAUACCGGAUAAUAUUUUGAACCGCAUGGUUCAAAAGUGAAAGACGGUCUUGCUGUCACUUAUAGAUGGAUCCGCGCUGCAUUAGCUAGUUGGUAAGGUAACGGCUUACCAAGGCAACGAUGCAUAGCCGACCUGAGAGGGUGAUCGGCCACACUGGAACUGAGACACGGUCCAGACUCCUACGGGAGGCAGCAGUAGGGAAUCUUCCGCAAUGGGCGAAAGCCUGACGGAGCAACGCCGCGUGAGUGAUGAAGGCCUUCGGAUCGUAAAACUCUGUUAUUAGGGAAGAACAUAUGUGUAAGUAACUGUGCACAUCUUGACAGUACCUAAUCAGAAAGCCACGGCUAACUACGUG